Molecule: ribosomal RNA, 468 nt
Filed under: uncultured bacterium
Lineage: Bacteria
Description: partial 16S ribosomal RNA
Rfam family: Bacterial small subunit ribosomal RNA
Source: RNAcentral
GACGAACGCUGGCGGCGUGCUUAACACAUGCAAGUCGAACGGAAAGGCCCUGCUUUUGUGGGGUGCUCGAGUGGCGAACGGGUGAGUAACACGUGAGUAACCUGCCCUUGACUUUGGGAUAACUUCAGGAAACUGGGGCUAAUACCGGAUAGGAGCUCCUGCUGCCUGGUGGGGGUUGGAAAGUUUCGGCGGUUGGGGAUGGACUCGCGGCUUAUCAGCUUGUUGGUGGGGUAGUGGCUUACCAAGGCUUUGAAGGGUAGCCGGCCUGAGAGGGUGACCGGCGACAAUGGGACUGAGAUACGGCCCAGACUCGUACGGGAGGCAGCAGUGGGGAAUAUUGCACAAUGGGCGGAAGCCUGAUGCAGCAACGCCGCGUGCGGGAUGACGGCCUUCGGGUGGUAAACCGCUUUCGCCUGUGACGAAGCGUGAGUGACGGUAAUGGGUAAAGAAGCACCGGCUAACUACGUG